Molecule: small RNA, 148 nt
Filed under: Macaca fascicularis (crab-eating macaque)
Lineage: Eukaryota; Metazoa; Chordata; Mammalia; Primates; Cercopithecidae
Description: Metazoan signal recognition particle RNA (ENSMFAG00000052891.1)
Source: Rfam by way of RNAcentral
GUCGGGCGUGGUGGCGCGCGCCUGUAAUCCCAGCUACUUAGGAGGCUGAGGCAGGAGGAUCGCUCGAACCCGGGAGGCGGAGGUUGCAGUGAGCCGAGAUCGCACCAUUGCACUCCAGCCUGGGCGACAGAGCGAGACUCCGUCUCAA